AGCAGCCGCGGUAAUUCCAGCUCCAAUAGCGUAUAUUAAAGUUGUUGCAGUUAAAAAGCUCGUAGUUGAAUUUCGGGGUCAGUAGGUCGGUCGUGCCACUGGUAUGAACUGGUUUUACUGAUUCCUCCCUCUUGAAGAACUGUAAUGCCAUUAAUUUGGUGUUGCAGGGAAUCAGGACUGUUACUUUGAAAAAUUAGAGUGUUUAAAGCAGGCUUUAGCUUGAAUACAUUAGCAUGGAAUAAUGAAAUAGGACGUUUGAUCCUAUUUUGUUGGUUUCUAGGAUUGACGUAAUGAUUAAUAGGGAUAGUUGGGGGCAUUAGUAUUCAAUUGUCAGAGGUGAAAUUCUUGGAUUUAUUGAAGACUAACUACUGCGAAAGCAUUUGCCAAGGAUGUUUUCAUUAAUCAAGAACGAAAGUUAGGGGAUCGAAGACGAUCAGAUACCGUCGUAGUCUUAACCA
RNAcentral lists this ribosomal RNA (458 nucleotides) under uncultured Glomus. Its description in RNAcentral is "SSU rRNA". It matches the Rfam family "Eukaryotic small subunit ribosomal RNA", at positions 569 to 1032 of the family's 1831-position model. The record is from RNAcentral. Lineage: Eukaryota; Fungi; Glomeromycota; Glomeromycetes; Glomerales; Glomeraceae.